RNAcentral lists this transfer RNA (73 nucleotides) under Candidatus Nesciobacter abundans. It matches the Rfam family "tRNA". Rfam says of the family: Transfer RNA (tRNA) molecules are approximately 80 nucleotides in length. Their secondary structure includes four short double-helical elements and three loops (D, anti-codon, and T loops). The record is from Rfam by way of RNAcentral. Lineage: Bacteria; Pseudomonadati; Pseudomonadota; Alphaproteobacteria; Holosporales; Holosporaceae.
AGGAGUGUAGCUCAAUUGGUAGAGUAUCGGUCUCCAAAACCGACGGUUAUGGGUUCGAGUCCCUUCACUCCUG